RNAcentral lists this ribosomal RNA (445 nucleotides) under uncultured bacterium. Its description in RNAcentral is "partial 16S ribosomal RNA". It matches the Rfam family "Bacterial small subunit ribosomal RNA", at positions 354 to 796 of the family's 1533-position model. The record is from RNAcentral.
GUGAGGAAUAUUGGUCAAUGGACGGAAGUCUGAACCAGCCAUGCCGCGUGCAGGAAUAAGGUCCUAUGGAUUGUAAACUGCUUUUAUUCGGGAAUAAACCUCUUUACGUGUAGGGAGCUGAAGGUACCGAAGGAAUAAGCACCUGCUAACUCCGUGCCAGCAGCCGCGGUAAUACGGAGGGUGCAAGCGUUAUCCGGAAUCAUUGGGUUUAAAGGGUCCGCAGGCGGGCUAUCAAGUCAGAGGUGAAAUCCCACAGCUUAACUGUGGAACUGCCUUUGAAACUGAUGGUCUUGAAUUAAGUGGGCGUUGGCGGAAUAUGACAUGUAGCGGUGAAAUGCAUAGAUAUGUCAUAGAACACCGAUAGCGAAGGCAGCUCACUAAGUCUGAAUUGACGCUCAUGGACGAAAGCGCGGGUAGCAAACAGGAUUAGAUACCCCUGUAGUCC